CUACGGGGCGCACCAGCGAGGAAUAUUGCACAAUGGGGGGAACCCUGAUGCAGCAACGCCGCGUGGAGGAUGACGCAUUUCGGUGUGUAAACUCCUUUUAUAUGUCAAGAAAAUGACGGUAGCAUAUGAAUAAGCGCCGGCUAACUCCGUGCCAGCAGCCGCGGUAAUACGGAGGGUGCAAGCGUUACUCGGAAUCACUGGGCGUAAAGGACGCGUAGGCGGGUUGGAAAGUCAGGUGUGAAAUCCUACAGCUUAACUGUAGAACUGCACUUGAAACUUCUAAUCUAGAGUAUGGGAGGGGGAGAUGGAAUUAGUGGUGUAGGGGUAAAAUCCGUAGAUAUCACUAGGAAUACCUAAAGCGAAGGCGAUCUCCUGGAACAUUACUGACGCUAAGGCGUGAAAGCGUGGGGAGCAAACAGGAUUAGAUACCCCCGUAGUC
RNAcentral lists this ribosomal RNA (439 nucleotides) under uncultured bacterium. RNAcentral describes it as "partial 16S ribosomal RNA". It matches the Rfam family "Bacterial small subunit ribosomal RNA", at positions 339 to 795 of the family's 1533-position model. The record is from RNAcentral.